RNAcentral lists this ribosomal RNA (403 nucleotides) under uncultured Lachnospiraceae bacterium. RNAcentral's name for it is "bacterial SSU rRNA". It matches the Rfam family "Bacterial small subunit ribosomal RNA", at positions 355 to 773 of the family's 1533-position model. Lineage: Bacteria; Bacillati; Bacillota; Clostridia; Lachnospirales; Lachnospiraceae. The record is from RNAcentral.
UGGGGAAUAUUGCACAAUGGGGGGAAACCCGUGAUGCAGCGACGCCGCGUGAGUGAAGAAGUAUUUCGGUACGUAAAGCUCUAUCAGCAGGGAAGAAAAUGACGGUACCUGACUAAGAAGCACCGGCUAAAUACGUGCCAGCAGCCGCGGUAAUACGUAUGGUGCAAGCGUUAUCCGGAUUUACUGGGUGUAAAGGGAGUGUAGGUGGCAUGGCAAGCCAGAAGUGAAAGCCCGUGGCUUAACUACGGGACUGCUUUUGGAACUGUUGUGCUGGAGUGCAGGAGGGGUAAGCGGAAUUCCUGGUGUAGCGGUGAAAUGCGUAGAUAUCAGGAGGAACACCGGUGGCGAAGGCGGCUUACUGGACUGUAACUGACACUGAGGCUCGAAAGCGUGGGGAGCAAAC